Molecule: small RNA, 148 nt
Filed under: Pongo abelii (Sumatran orangutan)
Lineage: Eukaryota; Metazoa; Chordata; Mammalia; Primates; Hominidae
Description: Metazoan signal recognition particle RNA (ENSPPYG00000033960.1)
Source: Rfam by way of RNAcentral
GCUGGGCGUGGUGGUGCGUGCCUGUAAUCCCAGCUACUCAGGAGGCUGAGGCAGGAGAAUCACUUGAACCCAGGAGGUAGAGGUUGUGGUGAGCUGAGAUCACUCCACUGCACUCCAGCCUGGGUGACAGAGCGAGACUCUGUCUCAA